This 490-nucleotide ribosomal RNA is filed under the name uncultured bacterium. Its description in RNAcentral is "partial 16S ribosomal RNA". It matches the Rfam family "Bacterial small subunit ribosomal RNA", at positions 30 to 507 of the family's 1533-position model. The record is from RNAcentral.
AUUGAACGCUGGCGGCAGGCCUAACACAUGCAAGUCGAACGGUAACAGGAAGCAGCUUGCUGCUUCGCUGACGAGUGGCGGACGGGUGAGUAAUGUCUGGGAAGCUGCCUGAUGGAGGGGGAUAACUACUGGAAACGGUAGCUAAUACCGCAUAAUGUCGCAAGACCAAAGAGGGGGACCUUCGGGCCUCUUGCCAUCGGAUGUGCCCAGAUGGGAUGAGCUUGUUGGUGGGGUAACGGCUCACCAAGGCGACGAUCCCUAGCUGGUCUGAGAGGAUGACCAGCCACACUGGAACUGAGACACGGUCCAGACUCCUACGGGAGGCAGCAGUGGGGAAUAUUGCACAAUGGGCGCAAGCCUGAUGCAGCCAUGCCGCGUGUAUGAAGAAGGCCUUCGGGUUGUAAAGUACUUUCAGCGGGGAGGAAGGGAGUAAAGUUAAUACCUUGGCUCAUUGACGUUACCCGCAGAAGAAGCACCGGCUAACUCCGUG